This 68-nucleotide transfer RNA is filed under the name Leptodactylus melanonotus (black-backed frog). Its description in RNAcentral is "tRNA-His". It matches the Rfam family "tRNA". From Rfam's summary of the family: Transfer RNA (tRNA) molecules are approximately 80 nucleotides in length. Their secondary structure includes four short double-helical elements and three loops (D, anti-codon, and T loops). Further hydrogen bonds mediate the characteristic L-shaped molecular structure. tRNAs have two regions of fundamental functional importance: the anti-codon, which is responsible for specific mRNA codon recognition, and the 3' end, to which the tRNAs corresponding amino acid is attached (by aminoacyl-tRNA synthetases). tRNAs cope with the degeneracy of the genetic code in two manners: having more than one tRNA (with a specific anti-codon) for a particular amino acid; and 'wobble' base-pairing, i.e. permitting non-standard base-pairing at the 3rd anti-codon position. The record is from RNAcentral. Lineage: Eukaryota; Metazoa; Chordata; Amphibia; Anura; Leptodactylidae.
GUGAACAUAGUUUAUAAAAAUUCUAGCUUGUGAUUCUAGGGAUGAGAGCUAAUCCCUCUCUGUUCACC